GACGAACGCUGGCGGCGUGCUUAACACAUGCAAGUCGAACGGAAAGGCCCUGCUUUUGUUUGGUGCUCGAGUGGCGAACGGGUGAGUAACACGUGAGUAACCUGCCCUUGACUUUGGGAUAACUUCAGGAAACUGGGGCUAAUACCGGAUAGGAGCUCCUGCUGCGUGGUGGUGGUUGGAAAGUGUCGGCGGUUGGGGAUGGACUCGCGGCUUAUCCGCUUGUUGGUGUGGUAGGUGCGUACCAAGGCUUUGACGGGUAGCCGGCAUGGGAGGGUGAACGGGCACAUGGGGCCUGAGAUAGGGCCCAGACUCCUACGGGAGGCAGCAGUGGGGAAUAUUGCACAAUGGGCGGAAGCCUGAGGCAGAAACGCCGCGUGCGGGAUGACGGCUUUCGGGUUGUAAACCGAUUUCGAAUGUGACGAAGCGUGAGUGACGGUAAUGGGUAAAGAAGCACCGGCUAACUACGUG
Molecule: ribosomal RNA, 468 nt
Filed under: uncultured bacterium
Lineage: Bacteria
Description: partial 16S ribosomal RNA
Rfam family: Bacterial small subunit ribosomal RNA
Source: RNAcentral